GAGACACCCUAUGGGGCAGGACUUGCUUCAGUGGGGCUUUGGCGCUCACUGAGUCUGCCCCCUGAUUGUGUCUCU
RNAcentral lists this microRNA precursor (75 nucleotides) under Myotis brandtii (Brandt's bat). RNAcentral describes it as "mir-9229 microRNA precursor family". It matches the Rfam family "mir-9229 microRNA precursor family". Lineage: Eukaryota; Metazoa; Chordata; Mammalia; Chiroptera; Vespertilionidae. The record is from Rfam by way of RNAcentral.